This is a long non-coding RNA of Homo sapiens (human), 395 nucleotides long. RefSeq lists it as uncharacterized. The record is from RefSeq and is a predicted model, not a curated record. NCBI's taxonomy places the organism in Eukaryota, Metazoa, Chordata, Mammalia, Primates, Hominidae. The transcript has 3 exons.
UGGCUUGAACCAAUACUUAGAAAGUUGCCUAAGAGUGUUUUCACCUAUCCUUAAUUGUGUUUUUGUUUAUCAUCUGUCUUCCAGAAUGUGAUUUCCAUGACAACAAUGACCUUUCUGCAUUGUUUACUCCUGUGAUCCAGAACAGUGCCUGGCACUUGUGGAAUUCCAGGAUCCCACAUGUUUGCCUCUGCCUCUGCCUGAGAGCUCCAGCUAGUGCCUGGGUUAUGUAAACUAGAGACAUAUGGCUGAGAUGGUAAUUCUCACAUAGUUCUUUUUCCCCUGGUGAUUAACAAACUUCAAAUUACCACCCACAGUUGAUCAGGAAACACUGAAAAAUGACAACCAGUUCUGGUAUUCACCCAGGGCACACCCAUCCUGCCACACUGGAAGUUAAG